This 1245-nucleotide ribosomal RNA is filed under the name metagenome. RNAcentral's name for it is "bacterial LSU rRNA". It matches the Rfam family "Bacterial large subunit ribosomal RNA", at positions 1689 to 2925 of the family's 2925-position model. The record is from RNAcentral.
GGAGAGAACUCAGGAGAAGGAACUCGGCAAAUUGACACCGUAACUUCGGGAUAAGGUGUGCCUUUGUAGCGUGGAGGGAGAAACACCCCGAGCGCGAAGAUGUCUCAGAUAAUCGGUGGCUGCGACUGUUUAUUAAAAACACAGCACUCUGCAAAGACGAAAGUCGACGUAUAGGGUGUGAUGCCUGCCCGGUGCUGGAAGAUUAAUUGAUGGGGUGCAAGCUCCUGAUCGAAGUCCCAGUAAACGGCGGCCGUAACAAUAACGGUCCUAAGGUAGCGAAAUUCCUUGUCGGGCAAGUUCCGACCUGCACGAAUGGCAUAACGAUGGCCACACUGUCUCCUCCUGAGACUCAGUGAAGUUGAAGUGUUUGUGAUGAUGCAAUCUCCCCGCGGCUAGACGGAAAGACCCCAUGAACCUUUACUGUAGCUUUGCAUUGGACUUUGAACCGAUCUCUGUAGGAUAGGCGGGAGCCUGUGAAACCACAACGCCAGUUGUGGCGGUGGCGUCCUUGAAAUACCGCCCUGAUUUGUUUGAGGUUCUAACCUGGGACAGUCAUCCUGUCCGGGGACCGUGCAUGGUAGGCAGUUUGACUGGGGCGGUCUCCUCCUAAAGGUAACGGAGGAGUGCGAAGGUACGCUAGGUACGGUCGGAAAUCGUGCUGAUAGUGCAAUGGCAAAAGCGUGCUUGACUGCGAGACCCACAAGUCGAGCAGAUACGAAAGUAGGUCAUAGUGAUCCGGUGGCUCUGUAUGGAAGGGCCAUCGCUCAACGGAUAAAAGGUACUCUGGGGAUAACAGGCUGAUACCGCCCAAGAGUUCAUAUCGACGGCGGUGUUUGGCACCUCGAUGUCGGCUCAUCUCAUCCUGGGGCUGUAGCCGGUCCCAAGGGUAUGGCUGUUCGCCAUUUAAAGAGGUACGUGAGCUGGGUUUAAAACGUCGUGAGACAGUUUUGUCCCUAUCUGCCGUGGGCGCUGGAAGAUUGACGGGGGCUGCUCCUAGUACGAGAGGACCGGAGUGGACUCACCUCUGGUGUACCGGUUGUCACGCCAGUGGCAUCGCCGGGGAGCUAUGUGGGGAAGAGAUAACCGCUGAAAGCAUCUAAGCGGGAAACUUGCCUGAAGAUAAGUCUUCCUGGAGGCUAGACCUCCCUAAAGAGUCGUUCGAGACCAGGACGUUGAUAGGAUGGGUGUGUAAGUGCUGUGAGGCACUCAGCUAACCAUUACUAAUUGCUCGUGAAGCUUGAUCCU